CUGAAGAGUUUGAUCAUGGCUCAGAUUGAACGCUGGCGGCAGGCCUAACACAUGCAAGUCGAGCGCGAAAGGUUUUCGGACUGAGUAGAGCGGCGGACGGGUGAGUAACGCGUAGGAAUCAACCCAGUAGUGGGGGACAACUCGGGGAAACUCGAGCUAAUACCGCAUACGCCCUACGGGGGAAAGCGGGGGAUCUUCGGACCUCGCGCUAUUGGAUGAGCCUGCGUUGGAUUAGCUAGUUGGUGGGGUAAAGGCCUACCAAGGCGACGAUCCAUAGCUGGUCUGAGAGGAUGACCAGCCACAUUGGGACUGAGACACGGCCCAGAC
Molecule: ribosomal RNA, 327 nt
Filed under: Prasinoderma coloniale
Lineage: Eukaryota; Viridiplantae; Prasinodermophyta; Prasinodermophyceae; Prasinodermales; Prasinodermaceae
Description: partial Bacterial small subunit ribosomal RNA
Rfam family: Bacterial small subunit ribosomal RNA
Source: RNAcentral